RNAcentral lists this long non-coding RNA (5047 nucleotides) under Sus scrofa (pig). RNAcentral's name for it is "lncRNA (ENSSSCG00045023579.1)". The record is from RNAcentral. Lineage: Eukaryota; Metazoa; Chordata; Mammalia; Artiodactyla; Suidae.
GGCUGCACCAGUGACGAGUUAUCUGUCCUUCUCAUCACUGGAUCUUCCUUAGUCUCUCAACUUGCAAGGGUCUCAGUCACCAGCUCACCAGAUCCUAGAACUAACCCAGACUCCCUGAUGAGAUGUGGGCCCAGAGCAAGUGACUAACAUGCUUCAGGCCUUUUAUCUUCAGUGAAAUGAGGCGGCUGGGCUAGAUGACCUUGGAGGGCUAAUGGCCUGUGUGUCUGUGGUCACCAAUCUACCCCCAGGGGCCUGGGGACCCUGUGGUUUGGGGAGUACCAAUACCAGGUGGUGGUGACAACCUGAGCUGUCCUUCUUGGGGCUCAGGAUGAGUUGAGGUCAUCGUCAGUGUCAACCAACACGACAUGGCUGGGUGGGGGCAACCUGGGGACCAGACCAGGAAGAGGAUCAGGAAGUUUCUUAGGAUCAUGGGUAGGAAAGCCUGGGGAUGGUGCUUUACCAGGCUUCAAAAUCCCUGUUCUUCCUGAGCCAUGGGAGGUCCACCCCUGCUGAUAGAGGGAAUGACAAGAAAGUCAAGGGAGACUCCCUCCUGCCCUCAGCACUGCCCCUCACCUUCUCUUGUCUUCUCUUUCCUCUCAUAUUUCCUCUCCCUAGGGCCAAUGUGUGACCAUUGCUGCCUACUCCUCCUGCAGUCUCUUUGCCAAAGAGUGUCCGUUCCCUGGCAGGCUCAAUGUGACCAUUCUCCUGUUCACCCUCAGUCUCAUCAGCCUUUCCCUUAACUUCUACCACCAGACAUACCUGAGAGGCAAGUGGGAGAAGCUGACCUACAAGGUGGGGCCAAGGACUGAAACUAGCAGAGCCCUCCCCAUGGAGAGUUUGGUGAAAGAUGAUACGGCCCACAGCCCACCCGUGCUGAGCAGAUUCCUCUGGGCAAGUAUUUCAUCCUAUGAGGAAAGGACAAUAACAAUUCUCGCCGCCUUCCCAGAGUUCAGGAGGACAGAACUGGACCCAGCUUCCUGAACGCACAUCUCAUGUGGAUUCGUCACUAUUUGCACACCUCCUUCCUCUACUAAACGUGAGUCCUUCUGAGGAGGGACUGAACUCUCAGUGGUCCCCACCCCUGGCACAGUAUCUCAAUAAAUGUGCAUUUAGACCCCUAUAUUCCCCCAUGGGCAGUCAGGGCUGGGAGCAGGGUUGGGAGCAUGGAGGAAGGCAAGGCUGGUUUGAUCUUCCCCUUGCAGGCAGAGAGGAUGGCUGAGAAUAUCUAAUCUAAGGAGUGUGGGUCUGUGUGAUUUCUCUUGGGGCUAUGCCAACAGUUCCCCUGCACAUCUUUCUGUCUGUUCACUAUUACCUAAGGUGCAUUUACACAGUUGUAUGAUUCUGUGUGUAUGGGGCAGCAGAAAGGGCUACUCAUACAUGUCCAAAUACUUUGCUUUUGAAUACACGUGUGUUUCCAUUCAUGAUUUUCUCUGUUGGUGUUUUUUGUUUGUCUCUUCUGUAAAUCUUGGAAAGUGCCAUGCUAGCCAAAUAAAAGCUUCUGGGAUCAUUAACACUUCUGUCCUGAUGGGAAACAUGGAUUCCGUGAGAAAUCUCUGCAUACAUGGUCCACCGAGAGCUUCCAAAGAGGGAUGUGAGAAAAGGAGGGAUGGGGUGUAAUGAAUGCCGCCAUCCGCUUGCCAGAGGGGGAACUAGGGCCAGCCAAAGGGAGCCAACCACAGAGUUGGCAGAAGCAAACAUCUGCUGGGCUGGUUAAGACCAGAACUGGAUGGGUGUCCGGAAUGCAGAUUUCCAGGGAGCUGCCUCUAUGCCUUUGAGCUGCUGCUCCUUCUCCUUUAUAAUCUCUCCCGUUAGCUCUUUCCCUCCAGUAGAGAAGUUCAUAUUUGGUGAUGCCUCCACUGCCAAGAACCUUAAAGACCUGACAAAGGUUUCAUAAGGUUAUUUGGGGACUGUUUAUCCAUCAGGUGCUCUGGUUAAUGAACUCAAGGCCAGGCGGGGCUGCAUCCUGUGGACAGAAUACUCAGAGAAAAUUUCCUCCCAGCUACGCAGGAUGCAAACACAUCCCACACACUCUUCCACAGCAGGUUGAGUGCCUUUGCAGGUGGGGGCCUAUUUUAAGGCAAUCUUUAAACACACACACACACACUCAGAAGUGAGGUCUGUUCACUUGCUUAGCAUCCAGAAUAAGAGACGGCUUAGUCAUCCCAGGGUUCAGAGCUGACACGUGUCCAGUCCUUUGUGGCUGCCUCUCCCUGAUUUAAGUAGCACAAGAGGAAGCAAAAUGUCCUGGGUCACGUCUCAAUGAAACAAGAUUUGGGUGGCAGGGAGAGCCUGGGGGAAGGCAAUGUGGUGGGGAGGGUUUGGGGGGAAAUUCUCAGUGCACUGAAGCUGUCCAUCAUUUUUUUUUUUUUUUUAAGUUGCACUUUGUUAUAACAAUGUGACCUGGUUCAGGGGUGCUGUGCAGGGGGCUCUUUCGUGUGGAAAGAGUGUGUGAAAUUAUAAAACAUAAAGUUAUUUGAAUUUGUCAACACACAGCCACAUUCUUAAUUAAGAUGGUAGAAGUUUGGGAGUUCCCGUUGUGGCGCAGUGGAAAGGAAUCUGGCUAGGAACCAUGAGGUUGCGAGUUCAAUCUCUGGCCUCGAUCAUGUCUGAUCUAGAAACUGUGAAGAAAAUGCUUUCUGUAGCUGAAAAGAGACUGGCCCUGAAUCACCCUAGUGAUGGAGCUGGGCUAGGUCUUGGCUUCCUGACUCCCCGACUGGGGCUCUGCCUCCCCCAGGACUGGGUCAAGGUGAAAGGCAUUUAUUCCCAUAAACAGGGCCAUUUAAGUAUGCAGGUCCUGGAGCUACUCCUAGUGGGAAAGUUGGUAUCGGGUAUCUAUAUCUCCCCCUCCACCCUCAGCCCGCAUCUUCUUCCUCACCCCUCUGCCAGACACACUGCCUCCCCAGUGAUUGAAUUCACCUUUUAGCUCACCAGGUGCCAAACCUCACAUGGGAUCAAGAUGAAAAGAGAGGAAGAAGGAAGAGACGCAGAGGGAAAACAACGUUAAAAGUAGCUUACUUUUUCAAGGAAGAAGGAAAAGGAGUUCCCGCUAUAGCUUAGCAGGUUAAGAACCCGACUGGUAUCCAUGAGAAUGCAGGAUCCAUCCCUGGCCUCCCUCAGCGGGUGAAGGAUCCAGGGUUGCUCUGAGCUGUGGUAUAGGUUGCAGAUGCGGCUCGGAUGCAGUGUUGCUGUGGCUGUGGCAUUGGCCAGCACCUGCAGCUCUGAUUUGACCCCUAGCCUGGGAACUUCCAUAUGCUCCAGCCCUAAAAACACAAAAACAAAAAAAACCCCAAAAAAACACUGGGCCCAAACACCAGAUUGAUUAAUAACUGAAAGCUUCCCUAAUCUUUGUCCCUGCUUCCAAUGUAGGACCAAUCACAGAAAGCUAAGUGUGCAUUCUAACCACAUAGGAUUUCCGCUUGCAUUAGCGUGUUCUCUAGGCCAAGAGCCCCCGACCAGGGCACACCUGAAGCUUUCUCUUUUACCACUCUCAUGCUUUCCCACCUCUGUCUGCCUUCGAAUCUCUGCCAAGACACAAACGAUGGUGGCUAAUAGCCUGCUAUAGCCAGCUCUGAAUACAUAGCCUUUGCUUGUUCCCAUUUGGUUGGGCUUUGUUUAUUUCCACGUGGAGAAGUGUGCUGGGCUUGCACAGGCAGCAGCCUUAAGGUCAGAGGGUGGUAUGGCCCGCCUACACCAGGGAGGGCCUGAGACAGCGCCCCUAGCUCCCCGUGGCUUUACACUAGCCCAGGAGUUAGGGUUGCUAGAUAAGACGCAGGAUUCCCACUAUGCUUGAAUUUCCCCUCCAAAAAAGCCAAGAAAAAUUUUAGCAUAAAUAUGUCCCAAGCAGUAUUUGGGGCAUACCUAUGCUAAAAAAGUAUUCCUUGUUUAUCUGAAAUUCAAAUAUAACUGGUGUCCUAUAUUUUUAUUUGCUAAAUCUGGUCAUCGUACAGGAGGGUAACUAAAACUUCCCAUGCCCCACUCCCAGAAGGGGAAACAAAAAGUUAAGAAAGAGAAGAGCACCUUGGUGGGGCUACAGAGAGUUUUAGAGCUAACAGGAGGGGGACACAUCAGAGAUGACACGGGAAACCUCCCAAGAUUUUGAAUGGGGCUUCGGCAGCAUCUCAAGGGAUUUCUGGGGUGGAGCAGCGAGGCCAAGAACGAGAACAGAAAUGAUUAUUCUGGUGCUGGAAUAUGAGAUGAAGACAUAUCUAGGUCUAGGGAGUUCCCAUUGUGGCACAGUGGAAACGAAUCUGACUCGUAUCUGUGCGGACGUGGGUUCGAUCCCCGGCCUCGCUCAGUGGGGUAAAUAUCCAGUGUUGCCGUGUGAGCUGUGAUGUAGGUUGCAGACGAGGCUUGGAUCCUGCGUGGCUGUGGCUGUGGCUGUGGCAUGGGCUGCGAUUUGACCCCUAGCCUGGGAACUUCUAUGUGUCACGUGUGUGUCUGUAAGCACUGCUCCCCCCAUGCCCUCCCCACCCCCCUACUGUGAGCUUAACAUCCAGCUGCAGAAAGAAAGAAACAGGAUGGGAGAAAUAGCCUGACUUUGAUGGAGGUAUCAACCUGAAACAUCAUUUUAGGACUUCUUGGGGAGUGUGUCGACAUUGCCAGAUUUAACGGGUUUUCCUGGAAGUGACGAGAUGAAUUUUCUGCUGUUAGAAUGAAGCCUCAAUAUUAAAAAUAUUCUGAAUCUGGUUAUAGAAAACUGUAAGGAAUUAACAUUUUGCACAUGUGAAUUCAUUGUCUGUGAGGCUUUGAAAAAUUCAUACUCACUGUAUAUAUGGGCUUCAUGUCUAUUGAAGCACCAAUUGGAGAUACAGGGCACUUUUGGAAAAUGAAACCUCCCCGUCUCCAUCCUCCAGCCCUCGCUCGCCAAUCUGGCAAUUUCCCCAGGGAGUCGUUUUCUCCGGAGAGAAAUGUUGCAUCUCACUUUAUUUGGUCUGUAUUUGGAAAACAGUUUUAUUUUCAUCUUCCAUACACCAGAUAACAUUAUUGCAUUGCAUAUAUUUUUCCACCUUCAUGCUCAUCUCCUAUCCCUUAAUGUUGACACCCUUCC